CUGAAGGAGGAGCUUGCUUCUCCGGAUGAGUUGCGAACGGGUGAGUAACGCGUAGGUAACCUGCCUGGUAGCGGGGGAUAACUAUUGGAAACGAUAGCUAAUACCGCAUAACAGUAGAUAUUGCAUGAUAUCUGCUUGAAAGGUGCAAUUGCAUCACUACCAGAUGGACCUGCGUUGUAUUAGCUAGUUGGUGAGGUAACGGCUCACCAAGGCGACGAUACAUAGCCGACCUGAGGGGGUGAUCGGCCACACUGGGACUGAGACACGGCCCAGACUCCUACGGGAGGCAGCAGUAGGGAAUCUUCGGCAAUGGACGGAAGUCUGACCGAGCAACGCCGCGUGAGUGAAGAAGGUUUUCGGAUCGUAAAGCUCUGUUGUAAGAGAAGAACGAGUGUGAGAGUGGAAAGUUCACACUGUGACGGUAUCUUACCAGAAAGGGACGGCUAACUACGUGCCAGCAGCCGCGGUAAUACGUAGGUCCCGAGCGUUGUCCGGAUUUAUUGGGCGUAAAGCGAGCGCAGGCGGUUAGAUAAGUCUGAAGUUAAAGGCUGUGGCUUAACCAUAGUACGCUUUGGAAACUGUUUAACUUGAGUGCAAGAGGGGAGAGUGGAAUUCCAUGUGUAGCGGUGAAAUGCGUAGAUAUAUGGAGGAACACCGGUGGCGAAAGCGGCUCUCUGGCUUGUAACUGACGCUGAGGCUCGAAAGCGUGGGGAGCAAACAGG
Molecule: ribosomal RNA, 722 nt
Filed under: uncultured Bacilli bacterium
Lineage: Bacteria; Bacillati; Bacillota; Bacilli
Description: bacterial SSU rRNA
Rfam family: Bacterial small subunit ribosomal RNA
Source: RNAcentral